GUAUUAUAGAGGGCACAGCUUGCAUGGAGCACUGGGUGUGGUGAAAAAGUAAUGAAUACUGUUUUUCUGAAAAUAAAUAAAUUGGAAAAAAAAAAGAAAUCUUAAGGUCUUAACCGUUCUAUUAAAUAGAGAAAAAAAUGGAUAAAUGGAUACUUUGUAAUUUUCAGAAAAACAUUAUCACUCUUGUUCAAGGCACAUAAAUACUCCCGAGGGCACUGUGAGGAGUAGCCAUCAUGCCCACAGGGCCUCCGGUGUGAGAGGGGGGAUCCAAGGAGGCCAGGACAGAUUGAGGAGGGCGGGGGCCCAUGCCUGGGUCUUGGGAUGGCAUAAGAAUUUAGAAAUAUCGUUUCCAGUAUCCAGGAACUACCUGACCUCCAAACGUUGUUCGAUGUUCUUGCCUUUUCCUAGGUAAACUUCAGGUCACACGCUCUCUUCCGUCAACACAGAUGGAACAACAAAGGCUCAGGUAAUGCCACAGUCUUCCUAAGCUGACACAUCCAGUGACAGCUAGAAAUGUCUCCUGUGUUUAAGCCAGAUCCAAUUUCUACAAGCCACAUGAAAUUUCUGUUUGCUGCUUGGAGAUGGGAACAGACAAUGAAAACAAGUCUGGAAGGAAAAAAAAAAUAAAAAACAAGAGGUAAGUAGGAUGCAAGUUCAUAAAUAGUCUGGAAAUAUUUGGGAACUUAAUCAUUUUCUAUAGGAUUUUUUUUUCCCCACGAGUAACUGCCGAGGAGAAGAAAAAAAAUCUUUCAUUUGUGUCAAACUCAGCGGUGGUUUGACGGCCACACUUGGCAUGUUUUUCCAAGCUGUCAAGGGUGUGAGGAGCUGGGCUGUGCUGGCCCAUCUUGCUGACCUUCACAAGCCCAGAAGGAAAAGACCUGAGCAGGCAGGUGGUAGCGCUCCUGAAGACGCGUACCAACCAGAGGGAACUGCUUCUACGAUCCUGCCACGCUAACUUCUGUUAAAAAUCCCAACAACAUCCCAGCUGUCCUGACCCUGGGGUGCACACACAACCAAGGAGGCUUGUUUGCGAGAUGUCACCCCUCCCCAACCUGUCACUUAGAAGACUUGUCACCUUCUCCAUCCCCCAUUGAAUCCUCAGUGAGGAACAUUUCGUUCUCCAGAUUGCUGCUUCAGGAGACGGAAAAACAAAACAAUACAGCCGCAGGAAGGAGCAGCAAUGUCAUAACCAUCGUGUUAGGACAUCCUGGGACCAUGUCUGGAGUUUCAAGAAUAUCCAGUAGUACAAUGGUUGAGCCAUUUGGUAUGUGUAUCUUGCAUUUUUUUUUUUUUAAGAUAGUCACAUUGCUUUCCAAAAUGGUGAUACUGAUUUCAUGUAUCUACAGCGAUGUGUGGGCAGUAUUUCCAUGAACAGCACAAUCAUAGUCGCGCCACUGCUACAAAGGAAUCGCCGAUUGGCACCCCCAGAAGUGAAGCAAAUUUGCAGCCCUUUGUAUAGGAAUCCUUUAAUCCUGCUGUCCUCACCAAGACAUGUUACCACAGGCAAUAUCUGCUUUGCCAAUUUAUAAUAAUAAGCCAUUUUAUUUGUUUGUUUGCAUUUCCCCGGUCAGUAGAAAAGUUGAGUAUCUUUUUAUAUGGUCAUUUGGUAAUUUUUAAUUUCUCUAUAAUGAAUUGCUAUUUUUUCUAUUGGGUUCUCAUUCUUUCUAUUUAUAGGAUUUUUUACCAAUUCAGAGUACAAGCCCCCUGUUGUUAUUUGUUUCCAUGCAUGCCAAUAUCUACUCCCUUUUGUGCUUUGCUUCAUGUAAUUUUUGCCUAAUAGAAAUUUUUAAUUCUAAUGUAAUCAGACAUAUCAAUCUUUACUUUUAUGUGCUGUGCUGUUCAUGUUUCCAUAGGAAAUCUCUCCCAACUCAGAUCUAAUAAAGGAUUUAGCUUUUUUUUUUCUUUUUUCUUU
This is a long non-coding RNA of Neogale vison (American mink), 1912 nucleotides long. NCBI's taxonomy places the organism in Eukaryota, Metazoa, Chordata, Mammalia, Carnivora, Mustelidae. The record is from Ensembl.